Molecule: long non-coding RNA, 3680 nt
Filed under: Homo sapiens (human)
Lineage: Eukaryota; Metazoa; Chordata; Mammalia; Primates; Hominidae
Description: HSALNT0363282
Rfam family: Nuclear enriched abundant transcript 1 conserved region 3 (bases 1162-1320)
Source: RNAcentral
GAGUUAGCGACAGGGAGGGAUGCGCGCCUGGGUGUAGUUGUGGGGGAGGAAGUGGCUAGCUCAGGGCUUCAGGGGACAGACAGGGAGAGAUGACUGAGUUAGAUGAGACGAGGGGGCGGGCUGGGGGUGCGAGAAGGAAGCUUGGCAAGGAGACUAGGUCUAGGGGGACCACAGUGGGGCAGGCUGCAUGGAAAAUAUCCGCAGGGUCCCCCAGGCAGAACAGCCACGCUCCAGGCCAGGCUGUCCCUACUGCCUGGUGGAGGGGGAACUUGACCUCUGGGAGGGCGCCGCUCUUGCAUAGCUGAGCGAGCCCGGGUGCGCUGGUCUGUGUGGAAGGAGGAAGGCAGGGAGAGGUAGAAGGGGUGGAGGAGUCAGGAGGAAUAGGCCGCAGCAGCCCUGGAAAUGAUCAGGAAGGCAGGCAGUGGGUGCAGGGCUGCAGGAGGGCCGGGAGGGCUAAUCUUCAACUUGUCCAUGCCAGCAGCCCCUUUUUUUCCAGACCAAGGGCUGUGAACCCGCCUGGGGAUGAGGCCUGGUCUUGUGGAACUGAACUUAGCUCGACGGGGCUGACCGCUCUGGCCCAGGGUGGUAUGUAAUUUUCGCUCGGCCUGGGACGGGGCCCAGGCCGGGCCCAGCCUGGUGGAGCGUCCAGGUCUGGGUGCGAAGCCAGGCCCCUGGGCGGAGGUGAGGGGUGGUCUGAGGAGUGAUGUGGAGUUAAGGCGCCAUCCUCACCGGUGACUGGUGCGGCACCUAGCAUGUUUGACAGGCGGGGACUGCGAGGCACGCUGCUCGGGUGUUGGGGACAACAUUGACCAACGCUUUAUUUUCCAGGUGGCAGUGCUCCUUUUGGACUUUUCUCUAGGUUUGGCGCUAAACUCUUCUUGUGAGCUCACUCCACCCCUUCUUCCUCCCUUUAACUUAUCCAUUCACUUAAAACAUUACCUGGUCAUCUGGUAAGCCCGGGACAGUAAGCCGAGUGGCUGUUGGAGUCGGUAUUGUUGGUAAUGGUGGAGGAAGAGAGGCCUUCCCGCUGAGGCUGGGGUGGGGCGGAUCGGUGUUGCUUGCCUGCAGAGAGGGUGGGGAGUGAAUGUGCACCCUUGGGUGGGCCUGCAGCCAUCCAGCUGAAAGUUACAAAAAUGCUUCAUGGACCGUGGUUUGUUACUAUAGUGUUCCUCAUGGCGAGCAGAUGGAACCGGGAGACAUGGAGUCCCUGGCCAGUGUGAGUCCUAGCAUUGCAGGAGGGGAGACCCUGGAGGAGAGAGCCCGCCUCAAUUGAUGCCUGCAGAUUGAAUUUCCAGAGGCUUAGGAGGAGGAAGUUCUCCAAUGUUCUGUUUCCAGGCCUUGCUCAGGAAGCCCUGUAUUCAGGAGGCUACCAUUUAAAGUUUGCAGAUGAGCUUAUGGGGGGCAAUCUUAAAAAGUCCACAGCAGAUGCAUCCGGCUCGAGGGGCCAUCAGCUUUGAAUAAAUGCUUGUUCCAGAGCCCAUGAAUGCCAGCAGGCACCCCUCCUUUCCUGGGGUAAAGGUUUUCAGAUGCUGCAUCUUCUAAAUUGAGCCUCCGGUCAUACUAGUUUUGUGCUUGGAACCUUGCUUCAAGAAGAUCCCUAAGCUGUAGAACAUUUUAACGUUGAUGCCACAACGCAGAUUGAUGCCUUGUAGAUGGAGCUUGCAGAUGGAGCCCCGUGACCUCUCACCUACCCACCUGUUUGCCUGCCUUCUUGUGCGUUUCUCGGAGAAGUUCUUAGCCUGAUGAAAUAACUUGGGGCGUUGAAGAGCUGUUUAAUUUUAAAUGCCUUAGACUGGGGAUAUAUUAGAGGAAGCAGAUUGUCAAAUUAAGGGUGUCAUUGUGUUGUGCUAAACGCUGGGAGGGUACAAGUUGGUCAUUCCUAAAUCUGUGUGUGAGAAAUGGCAGGUCUAGUUUGGGCAUUGUGAUUGCAUUGCAGAUUACUAGGAGAAGGGAAUGGUGGGUACACCGGUAGUGCUCUUUUGUUCUUGCUUCGUUUUUUUAAACUUGAACUUUACUUCGUUAGAUUUCAUAAUACUUUCUUGGCAUUCUAGUAAGAGGACCCUGAGGGGACAGCUUGGCACCGGUCCCGUGGGCGUUGCAGUGUGGGGGAUGGGGGUAUGCAGCUUGGCACUGGUACUGGGAGGGAUGAGGGUGAAGAAGGGGAGAGGGUUGGUUAGAGAUACAGUGUGGGUGGUGGGGGUGGUAGGAAAUGCAGGUUGAAGGGAAUUCUCUGGGGCUUUGGGGAAUUUAGUGCGUGGGUGAGCCAAGAAAAUACUAAUUAAUAAUAGUAAGUUGUUAGUGUUGGUUAAGUUGUUGCUUGGAAGUGAGAAGUUGCUUAGAAACUUUCCAAAGUGCUUAGAACUUUAAGUGCAAACAGACAAACUAACAAACAAAAAUUGUUUUGCUUUGCUACAAGGUGGGGAAGACUGAAGAAGUGUUAACUGAAAACAGGUGACACAGAGUCACCAGUUUUCCGAGAACCAAAGGGAGGGGUGUGUGAUGCCAUCUCACAGGCAGGGGAAAUGUCUUUACCAGCUUCCUCCUGGUGGCCAAGACAGCCUGUUUCAGAGGGUUGUUUUGUUUGGGGUGUGGGUGUUAUCAAGUGAAUUAGUCACUUGAAAGAUGGGCGUCAGACUUGCAUACGCAGCAGAUCAGCAUCCUUCGCUGCCCCUUAGCAACUUAGGUGGUUGAUUUGAAACUGUGAAGGUGUGAUUUUUUCAGGAGCUGGAAGUCUUAGAAAAGCCUUGUAAAUGCCUAUAUUGUGGGCUUUUAACGUAUUUAAGGGACCACUUAAGACGAGAUUAGAUGGGCUCUUCUGGAUUUGUUCCUCAUUUGUCACAGGUGUCUUGUGAUUGAAAAUCAUGAGCGAAGUGAAAUUGCAUUGAAUUUCAAGGGAAUUUAGUAUGUAAAUCGUGCCUUAGAAACACAUCUGUUGUCUUUUCUGUGUUUGGUCGAUAUUAAUAAUGGCAAAAUUUUUGCCUAUCUAGUAUCUUCAAAUUGUAGUCUUUGUAACAACCAAAUAACCUUUUGUGGUCACUGUAAAAUUAAUAUUUGGUAGACAGAAUCCAUGUACCUUUGCUAAGGUUAGAAUGAAUAAUUUAUUGUAUUUUUAAUUUGAAUGUUUGUGCUUUUUAAAUGAGCCAAGACUAGAGGGGAAACUAUCACCUAAAAUCAGUUUGGAAAACAAGACCUAAAAAGGGAAGGGGAUGGGGAUUGUGGGGAGAGAGUGGGCGAGGUGCCUUUACUACAUGUGUGAUCUGAAAACCCUGCUUGGUUCUGAGCUGCGUCUAUUGAAUUGGUAAAGUAAUACCAAUGGCUUUUUAUCAUUUCCUUCUUCCCUUUAAGUUUCACUUGAAAUUUUAAAAAUCAUGGUUAUUUUUAUCGUUGGGAUCUUUCUGUCUUCUGGGUUCCAUUUUUUAAAUGUUUAAAAAUAUGUUGACAUGGUAGUUCAGUUCUUAACCAAUGACUUGGGGAUGAUGCAAACAAUUACUGUCGUUGGGAUUUAGAGUGUAUUAGUCACGCAUGUAUGGGGAAGUAGUCUCGGGUAUGCUGUUGUGAAAUUGAAACUGUAAAAGUAGAUGGUUGAAAGUACUGGUAUGUUGCUCUGUAUGGUAAGAACUAAUUCUGUUACGUCAUGUACAUAAUUACUAAUCACUUUUCUUCCCCUUUACAGCACAAAU